GUUCGCGGCGGUGAAAAGGGAAUCGGGUGAGAGGCCCGAGCGAUCCGGUCACUGUAAUCAGGGAGCAAGACGCAGAAAACCAUUGUAUGUCCGCACAUAUGAGAAGGAGCGUUGCGCGAUAAUCUGAGAGCCAGGAAACCUGCUUGGAUGA
RNAcentral lists this non-coding RNA (151 nucleotides) under chicken gut metagenome. The record is from RNAcentral.